GUCAAUCAAGAAGGGCGUCGUACGCGAUGAGUUGUUUCCUCUUUGAAAGGUAAAAUGAUGUCAAAUUUAUAUCUCCGUGGAACGGAUCGGAGUACAUACAUACACAUACACAAACGACAGUCGGGAACAAAUCACAAACAAGUUUACAACACAAAAGACAAACACAAACACACACGCAUCGAGUCUCUGGCAGCUGCUAACGCAGGAACAGAAUCCUGCUCAGCCGCUGCAAGCAGCUAGCACUCUCCGACCCCGGCUGAAACCGGCCGCCGGGGUCGACAUAAAUCUAGAUGCGCACGGUGGUCCUCCUGUGUCCGGCGCGGCCGAAGGAGAGCGUGCGGAUGAUGCGGCGCCACAGCGCCCCCAGCGACGGCAUCCUGCGCCGGUGGUGCGUCGUCGUGGUGGUGGUCGUCGUCGCCGCCCGCUUCCUCCCCCACAGCGACGGCAUGGCUAGCUAGCUGCUCUUCCUUGCUUCUGUGCAAGCGCCGCGGUGUGAUAAAGCUUUCGAUGUGGUGAUAUAGAUCUAGGAUUGGACGAGAUCGAUGAAUGGAUUGAUUGAUGAUGAUUAUCUGAUACGCGCUCGGCCAUUUUUAUACGGCGCGGUUUGGGGUGCUUUGCGCGAGGGCUGCCUGCUGCGCUGCGUACGUGGGCUGGCGGGUGGAAAGGCCCAGGGGCUGCGUGUAGAGGGCCGCUGGAUGACGCGUGUGCCGCGGGUCAGAUGCUUCGGAAUGGGUUCGUUGCGUUGGCUCCGUGGGGAGGGAACUCGAGCGCGUACGUGUACCCCCUGCAGUCGGCGCGGGGGGGACUGACGCGUGUGUUGCUUGCUUUUUU
RNAcentral lists this long non-coding RNA (831 nucleotides) under Brachypodium distachyon (stiff brome). RNAcentral's name for it is "long non-coding RNA (BDIS_LNC004920)". The record is from RNAcentral. Lineage: Eukaryota; Viridiplantae; Streptophyta; Magnoliopsida; Poales; Poaceae.